This 253-nucleotide ribosomal RNA is filed under the name uncultured bacterium. RNAcentral describes it as "partial 16S ribosomal RNA". It matches the Rfam family "Bacterial small subunit ribosomal RNA", at positions 524 to 776 of the family's 1533-position model. The record is from RNAcentral.
UACAGAGGUCUCAAGCGUUGUUCGGAUUCAUUGGGCGUAAAGGGUGUGUAGGCGGCCCGGUCAGUCCGCCGUGAAAGUCCAGGGCUCAACCCUGGAAUGCCGGUGGAUACUGCCGGGCUGGAGUCCGGAAGAGGCGAGUGGAAUUCCUGGUGUAGCGGUGAAAUGCGCAGAUAUCAGGAGGAACACCGAUGGCGAAGGCAGCUCGCUGGGACGGUACUGACGCUGAGACGCGAAAGCGUGGGGAGCAAACAGG